Molecule: non-coding RNA, 67 nt
Organism: Podarcis lilfordi (Lilford's wall lizard)
Lineage: Eukaryota; Metazoa; Chordata; Lepidosauria; Squamata; Lacertidae
Source: the annotation of a GenBank genome assembly
ACAGCUUUGCUGGUAAAGCAUGAGACUCUUAAUCUUGGGGUUGUGGGUUUGAGUCCCACCUUGGGCA